Molecule: long non-coding RNA, 20159 nt
Filed under: Vitis vinifera (wine grape)
Lineage: Eukaryota; Viridiplantae; Streptophyta; Magnoliopsida; Vitales; Vitaceae
Description: long non-coding RNA (VVIN_LNC001267)
Source: RNAcentral
GCGAAUUGCUCAAGAGUAAAAACUGUACUCUUGAGCAGGGAAAAUCAUCAUGGGAUAAUCUAGUUAAGUUCGAGGAGUAUGUAAUGGAACAGAUUAACAACUAUGCAGCGUCCCCUGAGAUUUUCUUGCGGGAAAGCAGCUUCAUGAAAUGGUGGGGACUGUAUGAGGGCUACAUAGAUACUUGCAGUAAUUCCCAUGGGUCGCAAUUGAUCAACUUCAUGAAGAAACGUAGCUAUAUGAAGUAUGGUUAGAGGGGCAAUCCAGUUUGUGUGUUGUGUUUAUUGUUUUGUGAGCGUUCAAUGGAUAAAACUAGAAAGAGUGUGACCUUUUUCCCUUUUUCUUGGUUGCUGCCCAUAUUCUCAGCACUAUUUUCUUCCUUCUUUUCCUCUGUUUUUUUUGAUAGGAAAUGAAUAUUAUGAUGUUGCUGGGAUGCACUUNNNNNNNNNNNNNNNNNNNNNNNNNNNNNNNNNNNNNNNNNNNNNNNNNNNNNNNNNNNNNNNNNNNNNNNNNNNNNNNNNNNNNNNNNNNNNNNNNNNNAGGGGAAGAAAAACAUGUUUGUUUAGAUUCAACUCCACCAAAACUUGCAACAACUUCCCAUUGAAAAUUUCCUUUUAAGCUUCUGACUGACAUAAAACUAGAUAUGUUCCAGCUAGAACGGUACAAGAAAGAAAUCAAAAGAUGAGCACAAGUAGAGAGGAAGCCUCACCAGGAAGGGGCAGCUUUGCAAACCCUCUGGCUCUGUACAGGAACGAAUUAUAGAAAGAUGGUUGAACCACUUGACAUUGCUGCCUACCACAGAGAGGGUGGAAGACACUACAUAACCAAUGGAGGAUCUAAACAUUACACGCUAUUGGAGCAAUGAUGCAAUGAAGAGGAGAAGGGGGCUUUGUCUUCUCAUGCAAAUUGCUCUCAGAGCUCAGAACCUACUCCUGAAGGGAAAGAAUCAUCAUGGAGUGAUCUGGUUAAGUUUGAGGAUUUAUUUAUAUAAUUGAACUGAUUGGAAGCUAUGCAGUGUCGGCCCCCGCCCGAGCAGCUUCAUGAAACGGUGGAAAGAGUUGGAAGAAGUCAUAGAUACUUGCUAUAGGAGCUUCAUGAAGUAUGGAGAGGUGUGGCAUAGAUACUUGCAGUCUCUGAAUUUCCCAAAUCCAAUUUCAGAUUGUGUUUUUAGAUUCGUGGAACUUGUUUUCGGGCUUUUUGUUAGGUACAAUUGAGAUGGGCUGAACCGAAAGGCCCGCCAGGAUGAACAAUAUAAUGGGCCUGAAUUUUAAACCAGUGGAUGGGUUUUGUACUGGAUUCAGCUGUCUGAGCCCAAUGAGUAUUGAAUGUGUUUCUGUAUAAAAUUAAAUUUUUAACAUUGAAAUAUAAGGACUUACUUAAAAACACAUUUGGUAACUUUUUUUUUUUUUGGUUAAUAAUAAAUUUUUUUAAAAAAAAUUAAAAAUAUAUAAUUUUUUUAGAAUAAAUUUGAGGCAUGUUUAGGUAUUUUUUGUGGUAAAGAGUUUUGAGAAGCAAUGAGAAAUAUACAGAAUACUUUAAAAACUUUUGCAUAAGUAAGAUACUUACACGAGGCUUUUAUGAAAAAUAAAUCGAUAAAAACAAUUUUUAUAUUUGAAUUUCAAAACAUAAAACAACUUAGAACUGUUUUUAAAAACUGUUCUUAAAAAUAGUUUUCUAUUAACUCACAUUCAAGGAUGCUUUUAUCUUUUAUUUUUCUAUGUUUCAUCCUUGCAUAAAUGGAGUACAAAGUCGUAAGUUAAUCUAAUUAACAAAUAUAGAUAAUCAUCCGAUAAAUGAGUAAAUUAGGUGAUGAUCUCUUUAUAUAUGCAAGUAAUGGAAUGAAUGUGAUAAAAAAAUAAAAUAAAAAAGUAAGGGGAGAAAUGUUGUAAAUAAAAUGUUUUUAUUGUGGUUCAACGACCUAUCCACUUCCACACCUUGACAUAUUUCACAAUUUUAAAAGUUUUUUUAAUCAUGAUUCUCCUUAUUGUUCUUUAAGUCUGGAUUUCUUAAGUUUCAAUAGACUUUUACAAUCACUAAGAUGACGUUUGUUUUUUCACUUAAUUCUAAAUAUAAGUUAAAACUAAAUAAUAUUUAAUAAUAUCAAGUAUUAGGUUGUUUUUUUUAUAACAUUUUAUUUCUAUAUAAUAUUAAAAAGUAAAGAAAAAUCAGUAUGUUUUUUUUUUAUUUAAAAAAAGUCAAAUAUUUUGACUUUUUUUUAAGCUAAAAAUUUAUAAUAAAAAAUAAAAAAUAAACAAACAAACAAACAACUUGAAGUGUAAAAACAGAUUGUUUUCAAUAAAAAUUUUAAAAAAUAAACACCUUAUAAAUAAAAUUCCUUAACCACUCGUACAAUAGCUUCUUUAAGCACAAAAUGUAUUGAAGCGCUCACAAUGAAAAGAUAAACAAGUUUGGAUUUAAUAUAAUUUUGGGUUAUCUAAUUAAAAAGGUGUAGACCCCCGGAGGCAGACAGUUUUUUUAGUUAUUAUUAUUAUUUGUUUAUUUUUAAUUUUUCCUACCUUUUUCUUCCCAAGCCGCUCGACAUGAUGGGACUAAAGUGGGCUGGUUUUUGGGGCAGAGAGGGGACUCAAGUGGGCGUUUUUUUUUUUUUUUGGGCGGCAGAUGGGAUGGUGUACGGGGGAUGGCUUGUGGAGGAAGACUCAAAACAGGGGAAGGAAGCGAAAGAAAGGCAGGAAAAAAAGUGUUGGAGGACGGGGGGGAUACCUUGCUCAAGGAGAAAACUUUCAGGUAAAAUUUUCUGUGAACUCCAUGUUUCUUCGUUAUGACAUUAUUGUGCUCACUUCUUUUGUUGAUUCCAGGAUGUGAUUUGUUGGUCGGUUUGGAUGUCAUGGAUUAUUGGUUUAUUUUUGCUGAAUUUAUCCGUGUGCGGAGGUGCUCUGUUUGACUCUAUUCUGGUUUCCCUAACUCCUUCCAUAAGCACCUGAAUGUAUGAAUUCAUCCCUGAGCCCGAUUAUAUAAAAAUCAUGCUUUGUUCCCUGUGGUUUCUUCCCUCUGUUUGUUGCUCUAUUCCUUGUUGGUUGUGGGAAUGAGGUCAUCGAUGGCCAGGUUAUCGAAACUGGGGAAGUGACUUCGUGAACGGAUCACCUUCUAUGCACCCAUCUCAUCUUUCUCAUUCACUCAUCACGGCUACACUUCCAUGAUUACACCAUCCUCAGUCAAAUACAUAUCUCCAUACCCAUUUUUCACCUUUCCCGUACCUUCCUCACCUAUCCAUCACACCCAUCGUCAUAUCUAGUUCAUCACUAACCCAUUUUCCUCUCGCCAGCCGUGGUUAUGCUUCGUCCAUCUCAUGCAUACGAUCCCUCACUACUAUUCCUAUAUUCUCAUCCUUCCAAACUCCUCAACACAACACCUAACCCUCAUACCUGCACCCCGCCAUGCCCGCGCCUAGCUCACCCCCAUAGGAACCUCAAAGCCGUUCGCCUACUUGCAUGGGAGCCAUGCAUGCCGCCCCUCCCCGCGUCUUCCUGCACCGGCUAUGUGCGCGCCUGCACCAGCCACCAAUGGCGGCAGCGCCUUCUGGACGUCGCCAGGCCGCUGCCACCUGCUCCGGCAACGCGCGCGCCUGCACCAGCAGCCAUGGCGGCGGCACCUUCUGAACGUCACCAGACCGCCGCCACGGCUCCCCUCUUCCCCGCGCCGCCGCUGCUCCUCUUUUCCCCGCGCCGCCAUGGCUCUCCUCUUCAUCGUGCCGCCGGUGGAGUCUUCGCGGGUGGAGAGGCAAUUGGUGAAGAGAAGCUUUGCCCAUGAUGGUUUUUGGGCUUGGGUUUGAACUGGGAACCCAGGCCCAAGCCUAUGAAGAGAAGCCCAGGUUUAUGAAGGCUUUAAUUGCCUUGGGCUUGCCCAUUAAUAUCAUAUGGAUUGGGCUUGAUGAGGAUGGGGCUUAUUGGUGGAUUUGGGCUUGACUAGGUUUGGGCUUUAUUAGGGUUGCUGAUGGACUGGGUUUGGGCUCUAUUAUUAUUAUUAAUUCAACAUUUAAAAUACUAUUAUUAUCAUUGUUAUUAAUCAAACUUUUAAAAAUCUUAUUAUUACUAUUAUUAUUAUUACGUUUAUCAUUAUUAUUAUUUCUAUUCAACAUUUAAAAUAUUAUUAUCAUUAUUAUUAUUAAUUCAACAUUUAAAAUAUUAUUAUUAUCACUAUCAUUAAUCCAAACUUUCAAAACCCUAUAAUUAUUAUUACUAACCCAAAUUUCAAAAUCUAUUUAUUUAUUAUUAUUUAUUAUUAUCAUUAAUCCAAAUUUCAAAAUCUAUUUAUUAUUGUUAUCCUUAUCAUUAAACCCAACCUCCAAAAUCUCAUCAUUAUCAUUAUUAUUAAUUCAAACUUUCAACACCUAUUUAUUAUUAUUUAUUAUUAUCAUCAGUCCAAACCUCCAAGAUCUCAUCAUUAUUAUUAUAAUUAACUCAACUUUCAAAAUUUAUUUAUUAUUAUUAUCAUCAUUAAUCCAAGCUUUCAAAAAUCUCAUCAUUAUUGUUAUUAUUACCUCAACUUUCAAAAUCUUAUUUUUAUUAUUAUCAUUGAUUAAAACUUUCAAAACCUUAUUAUUAUUAUUAAUUCAAACUUUCUAACUUCCAAUUUCCAAGCCCAAUUUAUAAAAAUUCAACCUUCAAAUGAUACUCCAAAAUUCCGAUCUUUAAAACUCAAUUUCGAUUUCCGAAAAUUCUCAUACUCACUUUAAUCUAUUUAAUUAUUGUUAUUUUGAUUAUUUAUUUCAAAACCCCAUUUCAAAUCAAAUUCUCUAAAACUUCUGAUUCUCGAAUUAAAUUCCUAAUCCCAAAAAUUCUCAUGUUCGCACUAAAUUAUUUGAUCAUUGAUAUUUUAUUUAUUUAUUUAUUUCAAAACUCCAUUUUAAAUCAAAUUCUCUAAAACUUCUGAUUUCCGAAUUAAACUCCUAAUCCCAAAAAUUCUCAUGUUCUCAUUAAUUUAUUUAAUCAUUAGUAUUUUAUCUCCAUUUUAAAUCAACUCUUUAAAACUUCAGAUUUACAAAUUAAAUUCCUAAUCUUGAAAAUUCCCAUAUUCACAUUAAUUUAAUCACUAAUAGUUUGUUUAUUUAUCUUAAAAUUCUAUUUUAAACAAUUCUUUAAACUUUCUAACUUCUAAAUCUAAUUUCCAAUUUCAAAAAUUCCAGCAUUCCAUUCAUUUAUUUAAUCAUUAUUUUCGUCCUUAUUAUUAUUAGUCCAUUUAUUUACUUCAAAAUUUCAUUUUUAAACAUUUUUUUGAAUCCCAAUUUUCGAACUUAAUUUCCAAUUUCUAAAAUUCUAAUUUCCUUCAAGUUUGACAUCCCAAAAUUCCAACUCUUAAAUUUAAUUCUCAAGACUCCAAUCUUCAAAUAAUUUUCGAGACUCCAAUUUCCAAAUAAAUUUCAAAAAUUCAAUUUUCUCUCUAACAGUUUUAAUUCUCUUCGGGUUUCAAAUAAUCUUCGAUUUCUCUUGAUUUUAUAUAAACAUGAAUGCUAUUUUCAUAAUUCCAGAAUAAUGGGAUUUGUGAUAUUAAUUCCUGCAAAAAUGAAUGGGCUUUGGUGGGGGCCCAACAUACGUGCUUUCCUCAUGAUUGAUUGAUUGUUUGAUUGAUUUAAUUGCCAUGCGUGCUUGAUUUUAUUCUGCUCUAUGGCAUGCCCGAAAUUAUCCUUUAAUUGUGCACUAACCUCACUUUUUGAUAAGCGCAUUGUGGCUCGUCACCCAGGUACGUAUCUAUCCCCAUUCUGAUAUUUCCAUAUACAUGUUUUGAUUCUCCUAUGUGCAUGAUAGUUCCGGGUAUUCAUUGUUUUUCCUCAUCAAUUGCCAUGAUUGCUUCAUUUUAUUAGUAGAGACCCAUUUAGGGACUUAGAGGGGUGCUACGGUUCAUACCGUACCUUCCUGAUAAGUAACCUGACCCUCGGACCCGAUCCGGUUUUUCACAGACCACCUUUUCCAAAGUAAGGAGUCACACUUAGGGUUUUUCUUUCUUAUUUUGUUUACCCUUUUAAAAAUAAAACAAAAAUAAGUGGCGACUCCAAGUCAUUUUCUUAAACAAUAAAAAAUCAAAUUUUCAAAUAAAAAUCGAGUCCGCCAUUGAGUGGGAAACGCAUGAGCCGAAAUGCGGGGUCCACAAAAGGUCAUUGAAAACCCAAUUUUAGAAAUAUAACCCUUCAUCAUUUUUUUUAUCUCAUGUUAACAAAAAUGCUCUUAUUAUUUUCUUAUAAAAAUAAUCAUUUCUUUUAAAACACACUAUAAAUACUCCAAAUAGUCAGGGGCUUUUAUGUAUAAAAAAAUGAAUUACUCUUUAAAUAAAAAUAUUGGAGGGAAUAAAUUAACAAAUAUGAGGUAUUUCAUCCCUUUUAUCUAAUUAUUUCUAUAAUUUUAAGAGUUUAAGAAGGCUAGACAAAGACUAAUUAUUAGGCACAUUUUGUAAAAACACUAGUUAUUAGACACAUUUUUCGCUCAAUCAAUCAAUCACGGAGUUGACUAGACACUAAUUAUUGGACUUUUUUUUUUUUUUUUUUAUAAUAAGUGAAAGACAAGAAUACAAUCGACUACUUUGGUCAAUUAAACAAUCAUUCAGUUGACUAUAAACUAAUCUUUAGAUUUUUUUUUUUAUAAUAAUUGGAAGACAUGAAUACAAUCGAUUACUUUGAUUAAUUAAUCAAUUAUUCAAGAAAUUUAGAAAAAUAUUGGAUAAAAGAUAUAUAUAACGGAUUAUUUCAAAUUGAAACUUAAGAUUAUAAAUCUUACUUUUAAUGUUGAAAAAUCAUGUAAAACACAAGUUUUUAUCUUUGAAGUAAUCAAUUUCAUUUUUCACAAAAAAUCAUUAAUAAUGCAUGAAUGAAUUCUUUUAAAAAAUCUUAUAAAAAAUGUGAUUAUUUUUCAUUCCCAAAUACUUAGGUUCUAAAGAUCAAUUUUAAAGCAUACUUAUCCUUACUAUGCCUUACAAGAAAAUCUAUUCUAUACAUAUGAUCUUGUAAAAAAAUGUAAAUAAAAAAAUAAAAUAAAAUAAAAAGAAAAAAAAAAGCCUCUCUUGUUUUCCUCUUUUGACUGGAUAUCAUUACCAUACCUAAAAUUAAAUAUUUAAUUAAAAUAUUAUUUUACUAUCAUCAAAAUUUAGAUUUAACCAAACUUUAGGCUAGUAUGUUGAUACGAUAAGUUAAUUUUCUAUCUUAAAGUUUUAAAAACUUUUGAAAUUAAACAUUUUCUUACACAUUUAUUUUUAAAGUUUUUUAGCAUAAAAUUUAAAAUUGAAGCUUUUAAGGGAAAACCUCAUAAUAUAAUAUACUAGAAAGACAUGGUCAAACAAAUAGAGACGAAGCCUCAAAAGGAAGGGGCAAUGGUUGAACCACUUGACAUUGUUGCCUACUACUAAGAUGGUGUAAGAAACAACAUAACCAAUGGAACAUAUGCACAUUAAACAUUGUACAAUUAUUAUAAAUGUCUUAUACAUUAUGUGUGAAAAUACGAAAUAAAUAAAUAAAAUUAUAUUCAACAUUUAUAUUUGUAUACAAACAAUAUUUUCGAUAGUUUGAUAUAAAAAAACAAAUAAAAAAAUGAAGAAAAGCAUAUAAAUAUAUUUUCAAUGGACAAACUUAUUCAAUUAGUAUAAAUAUCUUGUAUAUUUAAUACAAAUACCUUAUACUUUGUGAAAAUGUAAAAAUAUAGUAUUUGAUAUUUAUAAAUGUGGGUAAGUAAUUUUUCUAAUGGUUUGAUUUAAAAAAAAAAUAAUGAGAAUCAAGAAAUACAUGCAAAUAAAUUAGUGUGAAUGAUAAAGGAUGUUUUUUUACCAUAAAUUUUCAUGGACUUAGCAUCAAUUAUGCAUCUAUAGAUGUUAACCCAAUUAGCAUAAUGUGAAAACCCUUACACACAAUAUAUAAACCCUAUACUUGAAUUAGGAAGGACAAAAAAAAAAUAGUUAGAGCAUUUGGUACCAUCAAUGAUGACUUCACCUAAAGAAAAGUUAAUGAACAUUAUGUUCUCAAUGGAAGAGCAACCCUAGUAGGACAUAUGGAGUAAAUUGAUGCUCUUCUUUCGACAACGAAGUAGCUAAGUCAUGAAAAUGGGGUUUUGCUAACAACAUUAAAUGCAAGAAUUCCCCAAUAUACUGCAAUUCAUAUUCAAUUCAUAGACUUUCAACUAACUACUCUCAAUAACGAGCAAACCCAAGUCAAUACAUAAGAUUGAUUAUUACUUAUGAUAAUUGAAACCAUAAUUAAUAAGACAUAUAUAUAUAUAUAUAUAUAUAUAUAUAUAUAUAUAUAUAUAUAUAUAUAUAUAUAUAUAUAUAUAUAUAUAUAUAUAUAUAUAAAAAAAAUAGAGACAAUUGUGUUUUGGAUCCAGGUGGAUCAAAAAAUAAGGUUUGGUUUAUAGAACUUACAUAAUUGAUGGAAAUGAUAUAAGUUAUCAAAAGACCAAAAUACUCAUUGACCUUUCACGUAAGUUUUUUUGGUCUUUAUUGUACCACUAUUCAUGCAACCAUAAUAAUUUUAUUUUAACUAUUUGGAUUUUUCAUUGUUUUUUAAAACUUUUUUUUUUAUAAAUAAUUGAAAAUCAACAUUAUUUUCUAUUUUAAAUUAUAAAUAAAGAAAAAUUACGUUCAAAAACUAUUUUAAAAAAUACUUUCUAAAAAAAUGGUAAUAUGAUUUAUAUUUUUUACAUUUUCUAUUAGAAAAAAAUAUUUAAUUAAAAAUGAAAAAUAAUUUUUAAAAAUAAAAAUUGAAAACCUUGUUUAGUACUAUUUUUUUAUAUGAAAAUAAUAAAAAUAAUUAAAUUUCAUUAAUUGAUUAUCCAUUAAAUUUUAUAUGAAAAUUUUUUAUAAGAGUAAAAAGAUUCAAUAUCUUUAAAAAAAGAAAAAAAAAACAAAACAAAACAAUAAGUUAGAAAUGAGUAAUACUUAAUUGGGAAUAGAAAAGGGGAAAAAAUUGAAAUUUACACUCAUUAUAUGCCUAUGUAGGGAUUAAAGGUAUUUUAGGGAUUAAUGAAGGAUAAUAUCCUUUAACUUAAUUUUUAUAAUUUAUUUGGGUCUUGACCUUAAAUGUGCAUGAUAUAUGGAUCUUUGGUCAAUUUUUGGGCCCAUUCGGGCCCAAAAUACAAUUCUCCCUACAAAAAUAUUUAUUAAAAUAAAUUAAUUAAUAAAAGCCAUUUAAAGAGUUUCAUAACUUAGUAUCGAAGCUAUUGUAAGAAAAAAGUAUUAUAUAAUGUAGGGUUUAGGUUCAAAGUCUACCUAAGAUUAAAUUUAAGUCUCGAGACAAAUUCACAUUCAAAACUAGGUUUUUAAGUUUGAAAAAUAGAUCCCUUAAACAAAUUAAAUGGUAAAAAAUAAUUACAAAGAAAAUUUCUCUAGCUGGUUUCUUCAUCUUGAAAACUAACGGAAACAUAUAUUAAUAUUUGGUAUGAAAAUUCGUAACCUUAGAAACACAGCUUUGAGUCUUGCUGAGAAAAACAAAGCUUAUUUGCUCGUAGACCAUCGUAGUGGUCGUCAUACCGUGUGAGGACCGGGGAAGCAUCUUUGCUCGUAGACCGGCUUUUGUAGUCUUUCUUUAACAAUUACAAGUUGUCAGGAUUCCCUUCAUCCUCCCAAAUAAUAUUGUUUUUGGUCUUGUUCUGGUUGCAUCUCCGUGGAAGGAAAGAAGAUGAAUCAAGUUCCUUUGUAAGUAUCAAUGUCUCUGAUUCAUUUUUUGGUUCCUAGAAUCGAAUCCUCGCUCUGUUCUUGCUUAAUUUCUCCUUUUUCUGUUGGGUCUUUCACUGCAGGUUUAGCUCUGCACGGGAACUGGCAAAUUUGGUGCUGAGCUCCAAUCUAAUCGACUGUGCUUUCACCAAAAUUCUUGAACUUAAGAGAGGCCAAACAGCCUUGCCUGUUCAAUACAGACUUUAUCAACUGUCUUCCAAGUGCACAAUUGUAGCUUUUGUCUCUUCACCUGACUGCACUCAAUACCCUCUUCCUGGACAAGGAGAUUUAGAUCGGUCUCCUCUCUUUGACUUCCUCCGUACCGAAGAAUACCCGUCCGUCUCCAUUAACAGAGCAGCAUUAGCCCUCUAUACCCCUCUCCAUGAUCAUCUCUCUGGACUAACAGAUGAGGUCAAAAUCUGAUACUUGUUUGAAUUUUCGUUUCCUUUUCGUUAACAAUUGUGAGACACGAAACAGCUUGACCAUGAGAUCUCCCUCAUGGAGUCGAACUACCUGAAGGAUAAGACGUCACACAUAUCCAUUUUCAUGGCAUCGUCACAUGACCCAUUGAUCGGUUGUGAUUCAACUCUUAAUAGGAACACAGUAGAACUGGUGUUGGUAUAUCUGUCUUUAGAUAAGCUUGCAUAUAUCUUGUCACUGAAAAAGGAAUGUUCAGAAGUGAGAUUAGUGGCAUUAUUCUGACAUGGAUUUCAUAUGGUUACUUGUUUUGCAGUUGACUCAGAUUGAAGGUCAGUUAAUCAUCACUGGGCACUCCCUGGGAGGAUCCGUUGCUUCUCUCUUCACCUUACGCCUGCUAGAUGGCAAUUUAUUAAAACCCAAAUGCCGCCCCUUUUGUAUCACCUUUGGUUCACCCCUCAUAGGCGACUUUGGCCUCCAACACUCCAUAUGGAAUUCUUUCUUCCUGCAUGUAGUGUCUAACCAAGACCCAGUCCCCGGACUCUUCCUCCCAUCCGGCAGAUCUCCGCCCACAUCCUCCCAUUCACAAACUACCGGUUACAAGCCCUUUGGGACAUAUCUCUUGUGCUCUGAACUUGGUUGUGCUUGUUUUGACAACCCUGAUUUAAUUUUGGGAUUGCUUAAAGUCAUAUCAUCAGAGGUUGCCGGAGGAUUGCAGGAUGUUGACUAUGGGGAGAUUUUAAGAAACCUCAAGGAGAGGGCAAUCUGCAAGGGACUGCCGCAGGUGGGUGAACGGUUUGCAGAUCCAUUUUCAGCUGGGAUCAUCAUGGAACUUGAGACAAUUGGAUUUAAUCAAACAAAGGUAAACAGCUUUCUCCCAUCUAAUGAUGUUAUGAAACAUGGUUUACACUACACCAAAUACUGCAAUAACUGCCCUAUUCAGAUUUAUCUUCUUGUUCUUUGGGAUCUUCCAUAACUAGUCUCAUUUUUAAAAUUCAUGGCAGUUGCUGCAGCAUAACAUUGAUAUCAACGCUAUGAUAAGAACAAUGGAAGCGGAAACCAGAAGCCUAAUCCAGAAAAAUAAAGCUUCCGAUGCCAAGAAACUGAAUGACAUAAAAAGAGACAUGGCCCAUCUAGAAUGGUAUAAGAAGAAAUCGGAAAUGGGUUACUACGAUUGCUUCAAAAAUCAGGGGUCUAAAAGGGACAUCAACGUUGAACAAUUUAGGGGAAACCUCACAAUGUACUGGGAAGACAUGGUUGCACAAGUACAGAGGAAGCCCCAGAAGGAAGGAGCAACAUUUCGAACCCGUUGGUUCUAUGCAGGGACAGUUUAUAGGAGAAUGGUUGAACCACUGGACAUUGCUGCCUUCUACAGAGAGGGUGGAACAGACUACAUAAACAAUGGAAGAUCUCUUCAUUACAAGCUGUUGCAGCAAUGGUAUGAAGAAGAUGUGAAACCCCCCUCUAGAGAUAAGCUUGAUUCCAAGAAGCAAAAGGUGUCUGGUAUCCUAACUGAGGAUUCUUUGUUUUGGGCACAUGUGGAGGAGGCCAUCUUGUCAUGCGAAUUGCUCAAGAGUCAAAACUGUACUCUUGAGCAGGGAAAAUCAUCAUGGGAUAAUCUGGUUAAGUUCGAGGAGUAUGUAAUGGAACAUAUUAACAACUAUGCAGCGUCCCCUGAGAUUUUCUCGAGGGAAAGCAGCUUCAUGAAAUGGUGGGGACUGUAUGAGGGCUACAUAGAUACUUGCAGUAAUUCCCAUGGGUCGCCAUUGAUCAACUUCAUGAAGAAACGUAGCUAUAUGAAGUAUGGUUAGAGGGGCAAUCCAGUUUGUGUGUUGUGUUUGUUGUUUUGUGAGCGUUCAAUGGAUAAAACUAGAAAGAGUGACCUUUUUCCCUUUUUCUUGGUUGCUGCCCAUAUUCUCAGCACUAUUUUCUUCCUUCUUUUCCUCUGUUUUUUUGUUAAGAAAUGAAUAUUAUGAUGUUGCUGGGAUGCACUUUCAUUGUUGUUCUAUUACAUUGUGUUUUAUUUAUAUCCUAAACAAAUAAAUCAAAACAAGAAAAUCAAAUAAGACUUAAAGAGUCUUUUCCUUCAAAAAAAAAAAUGGGGAAAAAGAAAAACAUUUUUGUUUAGAUUCAACUCCACCAAAACUUGCAACAACUUCCCAUUGAAAAAUUCCUUUUAAGCUUCUGAAUGAUAUAAAACCAGAUAUGUUCCAGCUAGAAUGGUACAAGAAAGAAAUCAAAAGAUGAGUACAGUGGGUUAUUAUGACAGCUUUAGAAACCUGGGGUGUAAAAGAGACAUUAAAAUGGAACCGAUGGGAAGACAUGGUAGAACACGUAGAGAGGAAGCCUCACCAGGAAGGGGCAGCUUUGCAAACCCUCUGGCUCUGUACAGGAACGAAUUAUAGAAAGAUGGUUGAACCACUUGACAUUGUUCCCUACCACAGAGAGGGUGGAAGACACUACAUAACAUUACACGCUAUUGGAGCAAUGAUGCAAUGAAGAGGAGAAGGGGGCUUUGUCUUCUCAUGCAAAUUGCUCUCAGAGCUCAGAACCUACUCCUGAAGGGAAAGAAUCAUCAUUGAGUGAUCUGGUUAAGUUUGAGGAUUUAUUUAUAUAAUUGAACUGAUUGGAAGCUAUGCAGUGUCGGCCCCCGCCCGAGCAGCUUCAUGAAACGGUGGAAAGAGUUGGAAGAAGUCAUAGAUACUUGCUAUAGGAGCUUCAUGAAGUAUGGAGAGGUGUGGCAUAGAUACUUGCAGUCUCUGAAUUUCCCAAAUCCAAUUUCAGAUUGUGUAUUUAGAUUCGUGGAACUUGUUUUCUUGCUUUUUGUUAGGUACAAUUGAGAUGGGCUGAACCGAAAGGCCCGCCAGGAUGAACAAUAUAAUGGGCCUGAAUUUUAAACCAGCGGAUGGGCUUUGUACUGGAUUCAGCUGUCUGAGCCCAAUGAGUAUUGAAUGUAUUUCUGUAUAAAAUUAAAUUUUUAACAUUGAAAUAUAAGGACUUACUUAAAAACACAUUUGGUAACUUUUUUUUUUUUAUGGUUAAUAAUAGAUUUAAAAAAAAAUUAAAAAUAUAUAAUUUUUUAGGAUAAAUUUGAGGCAUGUUUAGGUAUUUUUCGUGGUAAAGAGUUUUGAGAAGCAAUGGGAAAUAUACAGAAUACUUUAAAAACUUUUGCAUAAGUAAGAUACUUACACGAGGCUUUCAUGAAAAAUAAAUUGAUAAAAACAAUUCUCAUAUUUAAAUUUCGAAACAUAAAACAACUCAGAACUGUUUUUAAAAAUUGUUCUUAAAAAUAGUUUUCUAUUAAGUCACAUUCAAGGAUGCUUUUAUCUUUUAUUUUUCUAUGUUUCAUCCUUGCAUAAAUGGAGUACAAAGACAUAAGUUAAUCUAAUUAACAAAUAUAGAUAAUCAUCCGAUAAAAGAGUAAAUUAGGUGAUGAUCUCUUUAUAUAUGCAAGUAAUGGAAUGAAUGUGAUGAAAAAUAAAAUAAAAAAGUAAGGGGAGAAAUGUUGUAAAUAAAGUGUUUUUAUUGUAGUUCAACGACCUAUCCACUUCCGCACCUUGACAUAUUUCACAAUUUUAAAAGUUUUCUUAAUCAUGAUUCUCUUUAUUAUUCUUUAAGUCCGGAUUUCUUAUGUUUCAAUAGACUUUUACAAUCACUAAGAUAGUGUUUGUUUUUUCACUUAAUUCUAAAUAUAACUUAAAACUAAAUAAUAUUUAAUAAUAUCAGGAUUAGGUUGUUUUUUUUAUAACAUUUUAUUUCUAUAUAAUAUUAAAAAGUAAAGAAAAAUCAAUAUAUUAUUUUUUUCAUUUAAAAAAAGUCAAAUAUUUUGACUUUUUUUUAAGCUAAAAAUUUAUAAUAAAAAAUAAAAAACAAACAAACAAACAAACAACUUAAAGUGUAAAAAUAGAUUGUUUUCAAUAAAAAUUUAAAAAAAAACAAACACCUUCUAAAUAAAAUUCCUUAACCACUCGUUCAAUAGCUCCUUUAAGCACAAAAUGUAUUGAAGUGCUCACAAUGAAAAGAUAAACAAGUUUUGAUUCAAUAUAAUUUUGGGUUAUCUAAUUAAAAGGGUCAUUGAAAACCCAAUUUUAGAAAUAUAACCCUUCAUCAUUUUUUUAUCUCGUGUUAACAAAAAUGCUCUUAUUAUUUUCUUAUAAAAAUAAUCAUUUCUUUUAAAACACACUAUAAAUACUCCAAAUAGCCAAGGGCUUUUAUGUAAAAAAAAAUGAAUUACUCUUCAAAUAAAAAUAUUGGAGGGAAUAAAUUCACAAAUAUGAGGUAUUUCAUCCCUUUUAAAUAAUUAUUUCUAUAAUUUUAAGAGUUUAAGAAGGCUAGACAAAGACUAAUUAUUAGGCACAUUUUGUAAAAACACUAGUUAUUAGACACAUUUUUUGCUCAAUCAAGCAAUCACACAGUUGACUAAACACUAAUUAUUGGACUUUUUUUUUUUAUAAUAAGUGGAAGACAAGAAUACAAUCGACUACUUUGGUCAAUUAAGCAAUCAUUCAGUUGACUAUAAACUAGUCUUUAGACAUUUUUUUUUAUAAUAAUUGGAAGACAUGAAUACAAUCGAUUACUUUGGUCAAUUAAUCAAUUAUUCAAGAAAUUUAGAAAAAUAUUGGAUAAAAGAUAUAUAUAACGGAUUAUUUCAAAUUGAAACUUAAGAUCAUAAAUCUUACUUUUAAUGUUGAAAAAUCAUGUAAAACACAAGUUUUUAUCUUUGAAGUAAUCAAUUUCAUUUUUCACAAAAAAUCAUUAAUAAUACAUGAAUGAAUUCUUUUAAAAAAAUCUUAUAAAAAAUGUGAUUAUUUUUCAUUCCCAAAUAUUUAGGUUCUAAAGGUCAAUUUUAAAGCAUACUUAUCCUUACUAUGCCUUACAAGAAAAUCUAUUCUAUACAUAUGAUCUUGUAAAAAACUGUAAAUAAAAAAGAAAAAAAGAAAAAAAACCUCUCUUGUUUUCCUCUUUUGAUUGGAUAUCAUUAUCAUACUUAAAAUUAAAUAUUUAAUCAAAAUAUUAUUUUACUAUCAUCAAAAUUUAGAUUUAACCAAACUUUAGGCUAGUAUGUUGAUACGACAAGUUAAUUUUCUAUCUUAAAGUUUUAAAAACUUUUGAAAUUAAACAUUUUCUUACACAUUUAUUUUUAAAGUUUUUAGCAUAAAAUUUAAAAUUGAAGCUUUUAAAGGAAAACCUCAUAAUAUAAUAUACUAGAAAGACAUGGUCAAACAAAUAGAGACGAAGCCUCAAAAGGAAGGGGCAAUGGUUGAACCACUUGACAUUGUUGCCUACUACUAAGAUGGUGUAAGAAACAACAUAACCAAUGGAACAUAUGCACAUUAAACAUUGUACAAUUAUUAUAAAUGUCUUAUACAUUAUGUGUGAAAAUACCAAAAAAAAAGAAAAAUUAUAUUCAACAUUUACAUUUGUAUACAAACAAUGUUUUCGACAAUUUGAUAUAAAAAACAAAUAAAAAAAAUAAAGAAAAACAUACAAAUAUAUUUACAAUGGACAAACUUAUUCAAUUAGUAUAAAUAUCUUGUAUAUUUAAUACAAAUACCUUAUACUUUGUGAAAAUGUAAAAAUAUAGUAUUUAAUAUUUAUACAUGUGGGUAAGUAAUUUUUCUAAUGGUUUGAUUUAAAAAACAAAUAAUGAGAAUCAAGAAAAACAUGCAAAUAAAUUAGUGUGAAUGAUAAAGGGUGUUUUUUACCAUAAAUUUUCAUGGACUUAGCAUCAAUUAUGCAUCUAUAGAUGUUAACCCAAUUAGCAUAAUGUGAAAACCCUUGCACACAAUAUAUAAACCCUAUACUUGAAUUAGGAAGGACAAAAAAAAAAUAGUUAGAGCAAUUGGUACCAUCAAUGAUGACUUCACCUAAAGAAAGGUUAAUGAACAUUAUGUUCUCAACGGAGAGCAACUCUGGUAGAACAUAUGGAGUAAAUCAAUGCCCUUCUUUUAACGAUGAAGUAGCUAAGUCAUGAAAACAAGGUUUUGCUAACAACAUUAAAGGCAAGAAUUCCCCCAAUAUACUCCAAUUCAUAUUCAAUUCACAGACCUUCAACUAACUACUCUCAGUAACGAGCAAACCCAAGUCAAUACAUAAGAUUGAUUAUUACUUAUGAUAAUUGAAACCCUAAUUAAAUAAAUAAGGACACAAAUAUAUAUAUAUAUAUAUAGGGACAGUUGUGUUUUGGACCUAGGUGAACCCAAAAAUUAAGGUUUGGUUUAUAUAACUUACAUAAUUGAUGAAAAUGAUAUAAGAUAUCAAAAUAUCAAAAUACUCAUUGACCUUUCACAUAAGCUUUUUUGGUAUUUAUUGCACUACUAUUCAUUCAACCAUAAUAAUUCUAUUUUAACUAUUUGGAUUUUUCAUUGUUUUUUAAAACUUUUUAUUUAUAAAUAAUUGAAAAUCAACAUUAUUUUCUAUUUUAAAUUAUAAAUAAAGAAAAAUUACGUUCGAAAACUAUUUUAAAAAAUACUUUCUAAAAAAAAUGGUAAUAUGAUUUAUAUUUUUUAUAUUUUCUUUUAGAAAAAAAUAUUUAAUUAAAAAAUGAAAAAUAUUUUUAAAAAUAAAAAUUGGAAACCUUGUUUAGUACUAUUUUUUUUAUAUAAAAAUAAUAAAAAUAAUUAAAUUUCAUUUAUUGAUUAUCCAUUAAAUUUUAUAUGAAAAUUUUGUAUAAGAGUAAAAAGAUUCAAUAUCUUUAAAAAAAGAAAAAAAAAACAAAACAAAAAGUUAGAAAUGAGUAAUACUUAAUUGGGAAUAGAAAAUGGGAAAAAUUUUGAAAUUUACACUCACUAUAUGUCUACGUAGGGAUUAAGGGUAUUUUAGGGAUUAAUGAAGGAUAAUAUCUUUUAACUUAAUUUUUACAUUUUAUUUGGGUCUUGGGAUUAAAUGUACAUUAUAUAUGGAUCUUUGGUUAAUUUUUGGACCCAUCCGGACCCAAAACACAAUUCUCCAUAAAAAAAUAUUUAUUAAAAUAAAUAAAUUAAUAAAAACCAUUUAGAGAGUUUCAUAACUUAGGUGGUGUUUGUUUUUUUGGCUUUUUGGUGAAAACCAUUUAGUUUUAGAAUUUAGGUUGUUUGUUUUUUUACUUUUUCAUGACUUAUUAUAAACUUUUUACAAAAUAGAAAAAGCCAAAAUAUAUGACUUUUUCUAAAUAGAAAAAUAACACAAUGGUUUUUUUUACUUUUUAAUACUUAAUAGAAAUAAAAUAUUAUAAAAACAAACAACCUAAUAUUUAAUACUAUUAAGUAUUAAAGUUCUAUUUAGAAUUAAGUAAAAAAACAAACACCACCUAAGUGUCGAAGCUAUUGUAAGAAAAAAGUAUUAUAUAAUGUAGGGUUUAGGUUCAAAGUCUACCUAAGAUUAAAUUUAAGUCUUAAGACAAAUUCACAUUCAAAACUAGGUUUUUAAGUUAGAAAAAUAGACCCCUUAAACCAAUUAAAUGGUAAAAAAAAAUUACAAAGAAAAUUUCUCUAGCUGGUUUCUUCAUCUUGAAAACUAACGGAAACAUAUAUCAAUAUUUGGUAUGAAAAUUCGUAACCUUAGAAACACAGCUUUGAGUCUUGCUGAGAAAAACAAAGCUUAUUUGCUCGUAGACCAUCGUAGUGGUCGUCAUACCGUGUGAGGACCGGGGAAGCAUCUUUGCUCGUAGACCGGCUUUUGUAGUCUUUCUUUAACAAUUGCAAGUUGUCAGGAUUCCCUUCAUCCUCCUAUAUAAUAUUGUUUUUGGUCUUGUUCUGGUUGUAUCUCCGUGGAAGGAAGGAAGAUGAAUCAAGUUCCUUUGUAUGUAUCAAUGUCUCUGAUUCAUUUUUUGGUUCCUAGAAUCGAAUCCUCGCUCUGUUCUUGCUUAAUUUCUCCUUUUUCUGUUGGGUCUUUCACUGCAGGUUUAGCUCUGCACGGGAACUGGCAAAUUUGGUGCUGGCCUCCAAUCUAAUCGACUGUGCUUUCACCAAAAUUCUUGAACUUAAGAGAGGCCAAACAGCCUUGCCUGUUCAAUACAGACUUUAUCAACUGUCUUCCAAGUGCACAAUUGUAGCUUUUGUCUCUUCACCUGACUGCACUCAAUACCCUCUUCCUGGACAAGGAGAUUUAGAUCGGUCUCCUCUCUUUGACUUCCUCCGUACCGAAGAAUACCCGUCCGUCUCCAUUAACAGAGCAGCAUUAGACCUCUUUACCCCUCUCCAUGAUCAUCUCUCUGGACUAACAGAUGAGGUCAAAAUCUGAUACUUGUUUGAAUUUUCGUUUCCUUUUCGUUAACAAUUGUGAGACACGAAACAGCUUGACCAUGAGAUCUCCCUCAUGGAGUCGAACUACCUGAAGGAUAAGACGUCACACAUAUCCAUUUUCAUGGCAUCGUCACAUGACCCAUUGAUCGGUUGUGAUUCAACUCUUAAUAGGAAUACAGUAGAACCGGUGUUGGUAUCUGUCUUUAGAUCAGCUUGCAUAUAUCUUGUCACUGAAAAAGGAAUGUUCAGAAGUGAGAUUAGUGGCAUUAUUCUGACAUGGAUUUCAUAUGGUUACUUGUUUUGCAGUUGACUCGGAUUGAAGGUCAAUUAAUCAUCACUGGGCACUCCCUGGGAGGAUCCGUUGCUUCUCUCUUCACCUUACGCCUGCUAGACGGCAAUUUAUUAAAGCCCAAAUGCCAUCCCUUUUGUAUCACCUUUGGUUCACCCCUCAUAGGCGACUUUGGCCUCCAAGACUCCAAAUGGAAUUCUUUCUUCCUGCAUGUAGUGUCUAACCAAGACCCAGUCCCCGGACUCUUCCUCCCAUCCGGCAGAUCUCCGCCCACAUCCUCCCAUUCACAAACUACCGGUUACAAGCCCUUUGGGACAUAUCUCUUGUGCUCUGAACUUGGUUGUGCUUGUUUUGACAACCCUGAUUUAAUUUUGAGAUUGCUGAAAGUCAUAUCAUCAGAGGUUGCCGGAGGAUUGCAGGAUGUUGAUUAUGGGGAGAUUUUAAGAAACCUCAAGGAGAGGGCAAUCUGCAAGGGACUGCCGCAGGUGGGUGAACGGUUUGCAGAUCCAUUUUCAGCUGGGAUCAUCAUGGAACUUGAGACAAUUGGAUUUAAUCAAACAAAGGUAAACAGCUUUCUCCCAUCUAAUGAUGUUAUGAAACAUGGUUUACACUUCACCAUAUACUGCAAUAACUGCCCUAUUCAGAUUUAUCUUCUUGUUCUUUGGGAUCUUCCAUAACUCGUCUCAUUUUUAAAAUUCAUGCCAGCUGCUGCAGCAUAACAUUGAUAUCGACGCUAUGAUAAGAACAAUGGAAGAGGAAACCAGAAGCCUAAUCCAGAAAAAUAAAGCUUCCGAUGCCAAGAAACUGAAUGACAUAAAAAGAGACAUGGCCCAUCUAGAAUGGUAUAAGAAGAAAUCGGAAAUGGGUUACUACGAUUGCUUCAAAAACCAGGGGUCUAAAAGGGACAUCCACGUUGAACAGUUUAGGGUAAACCUCACAAAAUACUGGAAAGACAUGGUUGCACAAGUACAGAGGAAGCCCCAGAAGGAAGGAGCAACAUUUCGAACCCGUUGGCUCUAUGCAGGGACAGUUUAUAGGAGAAUGGUUGAACCACUGGACAUUGCUGCCUUCUACGGAGAGGGUAAAACAGACUACAUAAACAAGAAAAGAUCUCUUCAUUACCAGCUGUUGCAGCAAUGGUAUGAGGAAGAUGUGAAACCCCCCUCUAGAGAUAAGCUUGAUUCCAAGAAGCAAAAGGUGUCUGGUAUCCUAACUGAGGAUUCUUUGUUUUGGGCAUAUGUGGAGGAGGCCAUCUUGUCAUGCGAAUUGCUCAAGAGUCAAAACUGUACUCUUGAGCAGGGAAAAUCAUCAUGGGAUAAUCUGGUUAAGUUCGAGGAGUAUGUAAUGGAACAGAUUAACAACUAUGCAGCGUCCCCUGAGAUUUUCUCGAGGGAAAGCAGCUUCAUGAAAUGGUGGGGACUGUAUGAGGGCUACAUAGAUACUUGCAGUAAUUCCCAUGGGUCGCCAUUGAUCAACUUCAUGAAGGAUCGUAGGUAUAUACAGUAUGGACGUUAGAGGGGCAAUCCAGUUUGUGUGUUGUGUUUGUUGUUUUGUGAGCGUUCAAUGGAUAAAACUAGAAAGAGUGUGAC